This 470-nucleotide ribosomal RNA is filed under the name uncultured bacterium. Its description in RNAcentral is "bacterial SSU rRNA". It matches the Rfam family "Bacterial small subunit ribosomal RNA", at positions 330 to 793 of the family's 1533-position model. The record is from RNAcentral.
GUCACACUCCUACGGGAGGCAGCAGUGGGAAUAUUGCACAAUGGGCGCAAGCCUGAUGCAGCCAUGCCGCGUGUAUGAAGAAGGCCUUCGGGUUGUAAAGUACUUUCAGCAGUGAGGAAGGCAGGUACGUUAAUAGCGUGCUUGUUUGACGUUAGCUGCAGAAGAAGCACCGGCUAACUCCGUGCCAGCAGCCGCGGUAAUACGGAGGGUGCGAGCGUUAAUCGGAAUUACUGGGCGUAAAGCGCAUGCAGGUGGUUGUUAAGUCAGAUGUGAAAGCCCCGGGGCUCAACCUCGGAAUUGCAUUUGAAACUGGCAGACUAGAGUACUGUAGAGGGGGUAGAAUUUCAGGUGUAGCGGUGAAAUGCGUAGAGAUCUGAAGGAAUACCGGUGGCGAAGGCGGCCCCCUGGACAGAUACUGACACUCAGAUGCGAAAGCGUGGGGAGCAAACAGGAUUAGAUACCCCUGGUGG